Molecule: long non-coding RNA, 873 nt
Organism: Sander lucioperca (pikeperch)
Lineage: Eukaryota; Metazoa; Chordata; Actinopteri; Perciformes; Percidae
Exons: 3
Source: RefSeq, a predicted model, not a curated record
CCCGCCACUCUGCUGUACUGAAGUUUGGCACGUACAUUGGUGGAGGAAGAUUGCAAAGGAGUAGGUCACUGAUAUUGCUAGAGGCAAAAUGCUGUUGCGUGUUCAGCUCGGGGAAGAGCAGAAAUACGUCAAGUUGUCUGAGCUGACAUUCAGUGCUUUCUUGAAAGAAGGUGGGUAUAUUAGGUUAAAGCAAUAUAUAUCACCCUAAUGACAAAAUAAUACAGCAUUAAGCUAUUAUCUUAUGAUAUCUAGUUAGGUCCAUAAUCAUUUCUGCUGUGCUUUAUAUUUUCAGUAACAUAAAAUCAGGUGUAGAUCCUUGUCUUUUAUCAUUUUGUGAAUACAUGAGGCAAACUUAAAUAUGACCUUGGAUUCUUGUGAGAAGGGAAUGCAUGUUUUUUGUGUUUUUUUAAACAGUGUGUCUAAAAUUCAACAUACCAGAAAGCAGACAGCCAGACAUUAAGGUGUAUGACCAGUCUGACACAGAAGUUGACUCAGAUGUUUUUGAAGAAAUAGUGAAGGAGUCACCUGGAACUUUCAGAAUCAUGCUGGGCAAUGGACUUGGUAUUCAUUCAGACAAUUCACAAAUUAGUUUGUUUAGUUUAAAGAAUGAGAACAUUUAUUGUCUUAAAAAUAACAGUUUCUUGUAAUAUGUUUCUAUGUUUUGCACAAAUUUCAUAAUGAACAGAUACUUCUCAAUCAUCAUCAUGCUCGGGUACAUCUGAUGACACCGUCAUUCUGAAUUUCACUGUGUGUGACCAUGUUGAAGAAGUAGCUGCUGGCGAAGGAAGCCAGCCUAAAAGGCCAUGCCACAUAAACUAUGAGGCAAAAGCGUUGAUUGAAAAAAUCCUAACAUCAAAGCCUGGUGGUGAACGC